GUUUAGCGUAGAAAAUAGAGUAGGGUUGGAGAUGCCCUCGUCCAAUCCAAUCCAAUCCAAUCCAUAAAUAAAUCCUGAAACUUUUCAAUUUGUUAAAUUCACGACUUGUUUUCUUAGAAAAUUAAUUUGGAAUCUGGGGUGCCAUCUUUGGCUUAUGUGAAACGACGCUGUGUUGUUGAUUUUGAGGUGUUGUCCAUGGCGAAGGCUGCAGCUGUUGUCAAUCUCCUUUAGGCCAAGAACAUACUCUUGUCGUUUUUAAUCACCCAAGUGAUAUUGAUUGGUUUGUUGGAUGGAUAUGGAUUCCCGCUCAGAGGUCAGGUUGCUUGGGAAGCGCAUUAGCUGCCAGUGUGUGAAUCUAUUAGGUUUACUGCUGUGCUUGAUAGAUUUAAAGAAAGUAGUAAUCGUUAAAUCUAUGCUCUAAGUUAAAAACCUUGAUAAUUGGUUUUGGGGUGAGAAAAAGAUAUCCUAAGGUCUCCUCUCCUUUCAGUCGAGAUUCCUUUUGGUUCCUCUGUGACAUACUCUAAAGUAUUCUUAAGCAUAGAAUUGGCCCACACAUACAGGUCAUAGGCUGGUCAGUGUGGUUCUCAGAGUAUCUGUUUCUGGAAAGAAAUUGGGCGGAGGAUGAAAGCACUUUAAA
Long non-coding RNA from Raphanus sativus (radish), 637 nucleotides. RefSeq lists it as uncharacterized. The record is from RefSeq and is a predicted model, not a curated record. Lineage: Eukaryota; Viridiplantae; Streptophyta; Magnoliopsida; Brassicales; Brassicaceae. The transcript has 3 exons.